GGGCCGUUAGCUCAGUUGGUAGAGCAGCUGACUCUUAAUCAGCGUGUCGCAGGUUCGAACCCCGCACGGCUCACCA
Molecule: transfer RNA, 76 nt
Filed under: Pseudorhodobacter sp.
Lineage: Bacteria; Pseudomonadati; Pseudomonadota; Alphaproteobacteria; Rhodobacterales; Paracoccaceae
Description: tRNA-Lys
Rfam family: tRNA
About the family: Transfer RNA (tRNA) molecules are approximately 80 nucleotides in length. Their secondary structure includes four short double-helical elements and three loops (D, anti-codon, and T loops).
Source: RNAcentral